CACGUAGGGCGCAAGCGUUGUCCGGAAUUAUUGGGCGUAAAGAGCUCGUAGGCGGUCUGUUGCGUCCGCUGUGAAAACCCGGGGCUUAACCCUGGGCUGGCAGUGGAUACGGACAGACUAGAGGUAGGUAGGGGAGAAUGGAAUUCCCGGUGUAGCGGUGAAAUGCGCAGAUAUCGGGAGGAACACCGGUGGCGAAGGCGGUUCUCUGGGCCUUACCUGGCGCUGAGGAGCGAAAGCGUGGGGAGCGAACAGG
Molecule: ribosomal RNA, 253 nt
Filed under: uncultured bacterium
Lineage: Bacteria
Description: partial 16S ribosomal RNA
Rfam family: Bacterial small subunit ribosomal RNA
Source: RNAcentral